GUGCUCCUUAGAGCGGCACAUAUGCUGAAAUGGGAAUGAGAGAGAUCAGCAUGGCCCCUGCCCAAAGAGGACACACAAAUGUGCUAAGUGCCCCUUAUUUAA
Acomys russatus (golden spiny mouse) is the source of this 102-nucleotide small nuclear RNA. NCBI's taxonomy places the organism in Eukaryota, Metazoa, Chordata, Mammalia, Rodentia, Muridae. The record is from RefSeq and is a predicted model, not a curated record.